Molecule: ribosomal RNA, 231 nt
Filed under: uncultured bacterium
Lineage: Bacteria
Description: partial 16S ribosomal RNA
Rfam family: Bacterial small subunit ribosomal RNA
Source: RNAcentral
UACGUAGGGUGCGAGCGUUUAAUCGGAAUUACUGGGCGUAAAGCGUGCGCAGGCGGUCUGUUAAGGACCGAUGUGAAAUCCCCGGGCUUAACCUGGGAACUGCAUUGGUGACUGGCAGGCUUUGAGUGUGGCAGAGGGAGGUAGAAUUCCACGGUGUAGCAGUGAAAUGCGUAGAGAUGUGGAGGAAUACCGAUGGCGAAGGCAGCCUCCUGGGCCAACACUGACGCUCAU